This 953-nucleotide ribosomal RNA is filed under the name Diplodia mutila. RNAcentral describes it as "eukaryotic LSU rRNA". It matches the Rfam family "Eukaryotic large subunit ribosomal RNA", at positions 1 to 969 of the family's 3401-position model. The record is from RNAcentral. Lineage: Eukaryota; Fungi; Ascomycota; Dothideomycetes; Botryosphaeriales; Botryosphaeriaceae.
GGUUGACCUCGGAUCAGGUAGGGAUACCCGCUGAACUUAAGCAUAUCAAUAAGCGGAGGAAAAGAAACCAACAGGGAUUGCCUUAGUAACGGCGAGUGAAGCGGCAACAGCUCAAAUUUGAAAGCUGGCCCUUUCAGGGUCCGCAUUGUAAUUUGUAGAGGAUGAUUCGGCGAGGGCUCCCGCCUAAGUCCCCUGGAACGGGGCGUCAUAGAGGGUGAGAAUCCCGUAUGCGGUGGGCUGCCUUAGCCAUGUGAAUCUCCUUCGACGAGUCGAGUUGUUUGGGAAUGCAGCUCUAAAUGGGAGGUAAAUUUCUUCUAAAGCUAAAUACCGGCCAGAGACCGAUAGCGCACAAGUAGAGUGAUCGAAAGAUGAAAAGCACUUUGGAAAGAGAGUUAAAAAGUACGUGAAAUUGUUGAAAGGGAAGCGCUUGCAACCAGACUUGUCCGCAGUUGCUCAGCCGGUCUCCUGACCGGCGUACUCUUCUGCGGCCAGGCCAGCAUCAGUUCGGGCGGUCGGAUAAAGACCUCGGGAAUGUAGCUCCUCUCGGGGAGUGUUAUAGCCCGGGGUGGAAUGCGGCCAGCCUGGACUGAGGAUCUCGCUUCGGCAAGGAUGCUGGCGUAAUGGUUGUAAGCGGCCCGUCUUGAAACACGGACCAAGGAGUCUAACAUCUAUGCGAGUGUUUGGGUGUCAAACCCAUACGCGUAAUGAAAGUGAACGGAGGUGGGAACCCGCAAGGGUGCACCAUCGGCCGAUCCUGAUGUCUUCGGAUGGAUUUGAGCAAGAGCAUAGCUGUUGGGACCCGAAAGAUGGUGAACUAUGCCUGAAUAGGGUGAAGCCAGAGGAAACUCUGGUGGAGGCUCGCAGCGGUUCUGACGUGCAAAUCGAUCGUCAAAUUUGGGUAUAGGGGCGAAAGACUAAUCGAACCAUCUAGUAGCUGGUUCCUGCCGAAGUUU